GAAACUAACAUGCUCUUUUCUUAGUUCCAGAACUCUGCAUUCCACAUUCUCUGUUAUAUCUAAGCAACAGUCUGUGCUAUUUCUUAGCAGAGAAAAACAAUGUAUCAGGUACUGAAGAUGUGAAUGGACAUGAAACAGAAAGUCGAGCUCCUUAAAGCCUCAUAGUUUGUCUUCAUCCACCUUAUUUGGUGGAUCUGGCACCGGGCACCAUUUGAAUCUUCUCAAAGUCAAAGUGAAUUAAAGGAAAUGUUUGAAUCAAUUGAGAACACUGAAGGACUUCAGACAGUGCAACUAAGAACACUGAAGAAAGAAAACAUUCAAAACUGCUUCAGAAAGAGCCAAGUAAGUCUUUGAAAAUCUGAGAGAAGAAUUUAACCCUCGAAAAUCAUCUUUUGACGACAUCAUUGUGUGAGGUUAGUCAGUGUUCCAGAAAGAGUCCUCACGACAUCCUUUUGAGACAUCUCAGUCCUGCUCUUCAUGUGCUUUUUGCUGUUUGGGGGGAUUGAAGACCA
RNAcentral lists this long non-coding RNA (512 nucleotides) under Fukomys damarensis (Damara mole-rat). RNAcentral's name for it is "lncRNA (ENSFDAG00000023728.1)". The record is from RNAcentral. Lineage: Eukaryota; Metazoa; Chordata; Mammalia; Rodentia; Bathyergidae.